Molecule: ribosomal RNA, 385 nt
Filed under: marine copepod environmental sample
Lineage: Eukaryota; Metazoa; Arthropoda; Copepoda
Description: SSU rRNA
Rfam family: Eukaryotic small subunit ribosomal RNA
Source: RNAcentral
AGCUCCAAUAGCGUAUAUUAAAGUUGUUGUGGUUAAAAAGCUCGUAGUUGGAUUUCGGCGGGUAGUGGUUGGUUUGAAUUGAUUCAACACUGACUUUUUUACCCGGGUGUUUUGCCAGAAUCUUACGGGUGAUCUUUACCGAUUGUCCGUUGGAACUGGCAGGUUUACUUUGAAAAAAUUAGAGUGCUCAAAGCAAGCUUACUGCUUGAAUAGUUGCGCAUGGAAUGAUGGAAUAGGACCUCGGUCUUAUUUUGUUGGUUUUUCUAGACCCGAGGUAAUGGUUAAUAGAGACGGACGGGGGCAUUCGUACUGCGACGCUAGAGGUGAAAUUCUUGGACCGUCGCAAGACGAACGACUGCGAAAGCAUUUGCCAAGAAUGUUUUCA